This 883-nucleotide ribosomal RNA is filed under the name uncultured archaeon. Its description in RNAcentral is "bacterial SSU rRNA". It matches the Rfam family "Archaeal small subunit ribosomal RNA", at positions 35 to 922 of the family's 1478-position model. The record is from RNAcentral.
GGAAAUGGAUGAACUAGCAUGCGAGUCAUUGUAGCAAUACAAGGCAGACGGCUCAGUAACGCGUAGUCAAUCUACCCUAUGGACGGGAAUAACCUCGGGAAACUGAGAAUAAUACCCGACAGAACAUUAUACCUGGAACGGUUUAUGUUUCAAAUGAUUUAUCGCCGUAGGAUGGGACUGCGGCCUAUCAGUUUGUUGGUGAGGUAAUGGCCCACCAAGACUAUUACAGGUACGGGCUCUGAGAGGAGUAGCCCGGAGAUGGGUACUGAGACACGGACCCAGGCCCUAUGGGGCGCAGCAGGCGAGAAAACUUUGCAAUGUGCGAAAGCACGACAAGGUUAAUCCGAGUGGUUUCUGCUAAAGAAACCUUUUGCUAGUCCUAGAAACACUAGUGAAUAAGGGGUGGGCAAGUUCUGGUGUCAGCCGCCGCGGUAAAACCAGCACCUCAAGUGGUCAGGAUGAUUAUUGGGCCUAAAGCAUCCGUAGCUCGUUUUGUAAGUUUUCGGUUAAAUCCAUACGCUCAACGUAUGGGCUGCCGGGAAUACUGCAUGACUAGGAAGUGGGAGAGGUAGACGGUACUCGAUAGGAAGGGGUAAAAUCCUUUGAUCUAUUGAUGACCACCUGUGGCGAAGGCGGUCUACCAGAACACGUUCGACGGUGAGGGAUGAAAGCUGGGGGAGCAAACCGGAUUAGAUACCCGGGUAGUCCCAGCUGUAAACUAUGCAAACUCAGUGAUGCAUUGGCUUGUGGCCAAUGCAGUGCUGCAGGGAAGCCGCUAAGUUUGCCGCCUGGGAAGUACGUACGCAAGUAUGAAACUUAAAGGAAUUGGCGGGGGAGCACCACAAGGGGUGAAGCCUGCGGUUCAAUUGGAUUCAACGCCGGG